GUCCGAAUGGGGCGAUUUAGUCGCUGGGUCUAGACCCGAAGCGGAGUGAUCUACCCAUGGCCAGGUUGAAGCGCAGGUAAGACUGCGUGGAGGACCGAACCCACUUAGGUUGAAAACUGAGGGGAUGAGCUGUGGGUAGGGGUGAAAGGCCAAUCAAACUCCGUGAUAGCUGGUUCUCCCCGAAAUGCAUUUAGGUGCAGCGUCACGUGUUUCUUACCGGAGGUAGAGCUACUGGAUAGCCAAUGGGCCCUACAAGGUUACUGACGUUAGCCAAACUCCGAAUGCCGGUAAGUGAGAGCGUGGCAGUGAGACUGCGGGGGAUAAGCUCCGUAGUCGAGAGGGAAACAGCCCAGACCACCAGCUAAGGUCCCUAAGCGUGUGCUAAGUGGGAAAGGAUGUGGAGUUGCAUUGACAACCAGGAGGUUGGCUUAGAAGCAGCCACCCUUUAAAGAGUGCGUAAUAGCUCACUGGUCAAGUGAUUCCGCGCCGACAAUGUAGCGGGGCUCAAGCACACCACCGAAGCUGUGGCAUUGACACUUUGCCCGGCCGUGUCCUUCGGGGCGCGGUCCAAGCGUGUUGAUGGGUAGGGGAGCGUCGUGUGGCGAGUGAAGCGGCGGAGUGAUCCAGCCGUGGACGCCACACGAGUGAGAAUGCAGGCAUGAGUAGCGAAUGACGGGUGAGAAACCCGUCCGCCGAAAGACCAAGGGUUCCAGGGUCAAGCUAAUCUGCCCUGGGUAAGACGGGACCUAAGGCGAGGCCGACAGGCGUAGUCGAUGGACAUUCGGUUGAUAUUCCGGAACCGGCGAAGAACCGCCCAUACCGAACCUCGUGAUGCUAAGCGCCUGAAACCUGCUGACGUCUUCGGACUGACGCGGGCGGAGCGCGCGGACCGAGCGAGUACUAGGUAAGCAAUGGAGAGACACAGAAGGGUAGCCUCCGCGUGGCGAUGGUAGUCCACGUCUAAGGGUGUAGGGCGAGGUGUAGGCAAAUCCGCACCUCACAUAGCCUGAGACCUGACAGCGACCGCGAAUGCGGGAAGCAGGGUGAUCCCAUGCUGUCAAGAAAAUCUUCUAGCGAGGUUCGAGCCGCCCGUACCCCAAACCGACUCAGGUGGUCAGGUAGAGAAUACCAAGGCGAUCGAGUGAAUCGUGGUUAAGGAAUUCGGCAAAAUACCCCCGUAACUUCGGGAGAAGGGGGGCCCUGAUCGUGACGGCACUUGCUGCCCGAGCGUGAUCGGCCGCAGAGACCAGGGAGAAGCGACUGUUUACUAAAAACACAGGUCCGUGCCAAGUCGCAAGACGAUGUAUACGGACUGACGCCUGCCCGGUGCUGGAACGUUAAGGGGACCGGUUAGCCUCACGGCGAAGCUGAGAACUUAAGCGCCAGUAAACGGCGGUGGUAACUAUAACCAUCCUAAGGUAGCGAAAUUCCUUGUCGGAUAAGUUCCGACCUGCACGAAUGGCGUAACGAUUUCUCCACUGUCUCAACCACGAACUCGGCGAAAUUGCACUACGAGUAAAGAUGCUCGUUACGCGCAGAAGGACGGAAAGACCCCGGGACCUUUACUAUAGCUUGAUAUUGGUCUUCC
This 1588-nucleotide ribosomal RNA is filed under the name metagenome. RNAcentral describes it as "bacterial LSU rRNA". It matches the Rfam family "Bacterial large subunit ribosomal RNA", at positions 681 to 2126 of the family's 2925-position model. The record is from RNAcentral.